This 445-nucleotide unclassified non-coding RNA is filed under the name Hevea brasiliensis (rubber tree). The record is from RNAcentral. Lineage: Eukaryota; Viridiplantae; Streptophyta; Magnoliopsida; Malpighiales; Euphorbiaceae.
UCUCCUUUUUGUCAAAGCUUUCUUCCUGAUCUUUGAUGGAAGUAUCCUCUUUCGCACAUGCAAUUGUUUCAGAGCAGUCACCUGAAGCAGUUGUUUCUAUCUCCUCAGAAGCCAUUUCCAAAGAUUCUUUUAUCUCUUCAUUUCCUGGUUCAUCUUUGCUGUGUCCUGAAGCAGUUAUUGCAUCAUUGAUGUUGUCUUCAGCUGCUAUGACUGUAUGCCCAAUGUUGUCUCUGCUCUCCCCUGCUGAUGCCUCUGUUACAGCCAGCUGUUCAUCUAUGUUUUGUUUACCUUCCUUGUGGUUUACAGGCAAAUUGUCAAGCUUUUGUUUGUGAGUCAUCUCAUCCCUAACGUUUUCACCUUCACUGCUAUCAGCUUGAGCUGUUUUCUCAGGGAUUUCUAUCUGGCCUUCUUCUAGUGGGCUUUCUUUCACGUCCUCUGACCAAUU